AGUAACACGUGGAUAACCUACCUAUAAGACUGGGAUAACUUCGGGAAACCGGAGCUAAUACCGGAUAAUAUUUUGAACCGCAUGGUUCAAAAGUGAAAGACGGUCUUGCUGUCACUUAUAGAUGGAUCCGCGCUGCAUUAGCCAGUUGGUAAGGUAACGGCUUACCAAGGCAACGAUGCAUAGCCGACCUGAGAGGGUGAUCGGCCACACUGGAACUGAGACACGGUCCAG
This 231-nucleotide ribosomal RNA is filed under the name uncultured Staphylococcus sp. RNAcentral's name for it is "partial 16S ribosomal RNA". It matches the Rfam family "Bacterial small subunit ribosomal RNA", at positions 109 to 334 of the family's 1533-position model. Lineage: Bacteria; Bacillati; Bacillota; Bacilli; Caryophanales; Staphylococcaceae. The record is from RNAcentral.